CAAGCGAGGGCGAAGCCCGAAGCAGCCCGCCGCGCGUGUGAAGAAGGCCCCCGGGCCGAAAGCACCCCCGCCAGGAGGAGAGGCCAGCAGCCAACACCCGCCAGCCGCGACGCCACCGACAGAAGGAGCACCGGCUAACCCCGUGCCAGCAGCCGCGGCAACACGGAGGGUGCGAGCGCUAAUCGGAACCACUGGGCGCAAAGCGUACGCAGGCGGUCCGUUAAGCGAGAUGUGAAAGCCCCGGGCUCAACCUGGGAACUGCAUUUCGAACUGGCAAACUAGAGUGUGAUAGAGGGUGGUAGAAUCUCAGGUGUAGCGGUGAAAUGCGUAGAGAUCUGAAGGAAUACCGAUGGCGAAGGCAGCCACCUGGGUCAACACUGACGCUCAUGUACGAAA
RNAcentral lists this ribosomal RNA (396 nucleotides) under uncultured bacterium. RNAcentral's name for it is "bacterial SSU rRNA". It matches the Rfam family "Bacterial small subunit ribosomal RNA", at positions 369 to 758 of the family's 1533-position model. The record is from RNAcentral.